Non-coding RNA from Ciona savignyi (Pacific transparent sea squirt), 357 nucleotides. Lineage: Eukaryota; Metazoa; Chordata; Ascidiacea; Phlebobranchia; Cionidae. The record is from Rfam.
GUUCGGGGCCGCACGCGCGCUACACUGACCGGAUCAGCGUGUGCUCUCCUUGGCCGACAGGUCCGGGAAACCCGUUGAACCCCGGUCGUGCUAGGGAUAGGGAAUUGCAAUUAUUUCCCUUGAACGAGGAAUUCCCAGUAAGCGCGAGUCAUUAGCUCGCGUUGAUUACGUCCCUGCCCUUUGUACACACCGCCCGUCGCUACUACCGAUUGAAUGGUUUAGUGAGGUCCUCCGAUUGGACCCGGUCCGGGCGGCGACGUCCGAGCCGGCGUCCGAGAAGACGAUCUAACUUGAUCAUUUAGAGGAAGUAAAAGUCGUAACAAGGUUUCCGUAGGUGAACCUGCGGAAGGAUCAUUA